GCAUUGGGUUCUUAGAUUGUACCCACGUUACUUGGAUAACUGUGGUAAUUCUAGAGCUAAUACAUGCCGACAGAGUUCCAACCAAUUGUACAGCCUCGGCUGUGCGAUAAGGAAGGAACGCUUUUAUUAGAUCAAAACCGGCUAAGCGGCGGUCGUCGCACUCUUCGGAUGUGUGGCCGUCGUUAGUGGCCUGCGCAAAGAUUUGGUGACUCUGAAUAACUUCGAGCUGAUCGCACGGUCUCGUACCGGCGACGUAUCUUUCAAAUGUCUGCCUUAUCAACUGUCGACGGUAGGUUCGACGCCUACCGUGGUGGUAACGGGUAACGGGGAAUCAGGGUUCGAUUCCGGAGAGGGAGCCUGAGAAACGGCUACCACAUCCAAGGAAGGCAGCAGGCGCGCAAAUUACCCACUCCCAGCUCGGGGAGGUAGUGACGAAAAAUAACGAUACGGGACUCAUUUGAGGCCCCGUAAUCGGAAUGAAUACACUUAA
RNAcentral lists this ribosomal RNA (490 nucleotides) under Trabutina serpentina. RNAcentral describes it as "bacterial SSU rRNA". It matches the Rfam family "Eukaryotic small subunit ribosomal RNA", at positions 109 to 527 of the family's 1831-position model. The record is from RNAcentral. Lineage: Eukaryota; Metazoa; Arthropoda; Insecta; Hemiptera; Pseudococcidae.